GAUUUCCUAGUGGCGAACGGGUGAGUAACGCGUUGGUGACCUGCCCCAAAGAAGGGGAUAACAGUUCGAAAGAGCUGCUAAUACCCUAUGUUAUCAGUUGGAUUAGAUGCCUACUGAUUAAAGGAGUAAUCCGCUUUGGGAGGGACCUGCGUCCCAUCAGCUAGUUGGUAGGGUAACGGCCUACCAAGGCAAUGACGGGUAGGGGACCUGAGAGGGUGACCCCCCACAAUGGCACUGAAACACGGGCCAUACACCUACGGGUGGCAGCAGUAGGGAAUAUUGGACAAUGGGCGAAAGCCUGAUCCAGCAACGCCGCGUGCACGAUGACGGCCUUCGGGUUGUAAAGUGCUUUUAGAGGAGAUGAGAAAGGACAGUAUCCUCUGAAUAAGCCUCGGCGAACUACGUGCCAGCAGCCGCGGUAAAACGUAGGAGGCAAGCGUUAUCCGGAUUUAUUGGGCGUAAAGCGCGUGCAGGCGGUUUAACAAGUUGGAUGUGAAAGCUCCCGGCUUAACUGGGAGAGGUCGUUCAAUACUGUUAGACUAGAGAAUGGGAGAGGGAGGUGGAAUUCCGGGUGUAGUGGUGAAACGCGUAGAUAUCCGGAGGAACACCAGUGGCGAAAGCGGCCUCCUGGACCAUUACUGACGCUAAGACGCGAAAGCUAGGGUAGCAAACGGGAAUUAGAGACCCCGGUAGUCCUAGCUGUAAACGANGUAGACUUCGGCGUCGGCGGAGUUAAAUCUGCCAGUGCCGUAGCUAACGCGAUAAGUCUACCGCCUGGGGACUACGAAUCGCAAGAAUUAAAACUUCAAAGGAAAUUGACGGGGAACCCGCACAAGCAGCGGAGCGUGUGGGUUUUAAUUCGACGCUUACACGAAGAAACCUUUACCAGGGUUUGACACGUAAGUGGGUAGUGAAUCCGAAAGGUGAAACGAACCCCUUCGGGGAGCUUUACACAGGUGCUGCACGGCUCGUCGUCAGCUUCGUGUCGUGAGAAGGUUUCGGGUUAAGUCCGCUUAACGAGCGCAACCCUUCACUGUGUGUUUACAAGUGUCACACGGGAUCGCCGGUUUUAAGCCGGAGGAUGGCGGGGAACGAACGUCAAGU
Molecule: ribosomal RNA, 1104 nt
Filed under: uncultured bacterium
Lineage: Bacteria
Description: bacterial SSU rRNA
Rfam family: Bacterial small subunit ribosomal RNA
Source: RNAcentral